This is a long non-coding RNA of Phasianus colchicus (ring-necked pheasant), 2357 nucleotides long. RefSeq lists it as uncharacterized. The record is from RefSeq and is a predicted model, not a curated record. NCBI's taxonomy places the organism in Eukaryota, Metazoa, Chordata, Aves, Galliformes, Phasianidae.
UCCCCACAGCUGCCUCUCAUCAAGGCUCCUUGAAAGACUCAGAGCCCUCCAGCAGGAACCCUGACCACAUCUACAUUAGAAACAGAGCUCCUGACCAGCUGGAACAGACUCCUUUUGGAAUGCCAGACAGGAAUAAGUGACAGAGGGGUGAUGCAUCUUCACAUUUUGAAAGGAUUGCUCCCUUCUCGGCGGGGCUGUCACUGCCGAGCGUGGCCUCGUGGUGGGAGCUGCGAGGUGAGGGUUUGGAUGGCAGCGUGACGCAGCUGUAUCUGCAGAGCCACGAUGGCACCACUCAAUGCCGUUCAAAAGACCGAUGUGCUCUUCCAGCCAACACUGCGUGCUCUUCUUUGCUUGGAGCACGUGGGCAGUCUGUACAAAGCCCAAACCCUGCUCAAGUCCCACACCUGGAGAAUGCCCCAGGGAAAUGCUCGUGUUUCAGCAGCGCGACCACCCUUCAGAAAGAAAUGGUGUUUGGGAACAAACCUGCAUUUGGAUGGUUUUGUAAAAGGAGUGCUGAAAAAAAAACAAACAAGGAAAGCUUUCCUGCAAAGAGCAUAUGCUGCAGCUUCCUGAAACAAGAGCCCGGCUCUGGUGAGGAUUCUGGCAGUUUAGAGCCUUUCAAUAUUAAAGGACUCUCUAGCAGAUUAGAGUGGCAUAAUAAAAGCUAAUAAAAAUGAAACUGGACAAAUUCAGUGAAGAAAUUAAGACAUACGUCUUUAACAACAAUAGAAUUAAUCACUGAACAGUAGAAUUAAGACACUGGAAUGGGCUCCAAAGGGAUGUGGCAAAUGCACCUGAAGCUGCAGCCCCUGAGCACAGAGCUUCACCCCACCUGGCCUCCCCAGGCACCACUGCUGCCCCUUUCCCUACUGAGAGAUGGGAAAAACAGAGGAAGGAAACAAAUUGCUCUCCUGCACCAAGGUUCUCUCUGCUUUUGUCUCUCAGAUGCAAUGUAUAAAAUGAUGAAGUACAUCCCAGCUCGCCUGCACGCUGGCUGUGCUGUGCCCCACUGGUAAUGCAAGCAGCUACUUGAAUUUACAGCUGCGUCACAUGGCCGGAGCGGAAUGCAGCAGCCAGGGCAAGCACUGCAUACAGCUGGAACUACUGACACACAUCUUAACCUAGGGAAGGCUUUUAUUGGGCAUGAAGCGGCAUCUUUUACACUAGGAUGUAUUUUUACAUAUAAUUUAGGCCAGCAUAAAAUCUCACUGUUGUAGAAUGAAAUUUCCAUUGCUCACUAGGAAAUCCUUCCCUGCUGCGGGAAGCAGCCCACCGGCCCUGGACUAAGUUGUAUGUAAAAGCUCAGGGCUUUAAAUCAGAUAUGCCUUCCAUCAGGGAAGGGAAAGACUGGCCUCAGGGAGCAGGUCCCAGCUCCUGGGUGUCUGGGAAGGAGCUGGAAAGGAGAAGGGGCUCAUCUCCCUACCCUGCAUUUGCUGCAGCUUCUCUGCCCUUCUUUGCAGAACUGUUCUGAUCAGUUCAGAUUACUCUAAGCCAGCUCCUGAGAUGGCACAGGAUGUACGGUGCCACAGGAAUGCCUGGGGAUCUGUCUUGUACAACUGUGGUAAAGAUCAUUUUGUGUCUUAGGAGAUUUUGAGUAGAGGUUUUGAGUUUUGAAUACCAAGGUGAGCUGCAAUAAUUUAGGGUUCUUUACUUGCCUUUAGAAAUUGCGUGUUUUAUUACAUCGCUCUACCUCGAAAGCUGUUGUCCCUUUUGUAUUCAUCUCAGAAUUGAAGGAUGGGGAGAGUGCUGGUUAAAUCAAAUGUGAAUGUGAUGGCCACAGUGCUUUCUUUCAGUCUCUUUUGUGGUGUUCUUCAUGUAAUUAAAAUACAAAGCAGAAAUUAGUGAAAACAAAACAACUCUUGAAGAAGAUAGCUUCCUGCUAAUAUCCCAUGGAAACAAAAACAGAAAAAAACACAGGAUGAUGGUUUUCUGGAUUUGUGAAUCCUGGAAGGUACCAGAACUAUUUGGAGUGAACCAGACCAGGCACCCAUGCAGCCCUAUGAGCUGCUGCAGCCCUGCACGGUGCGGGAGAAGGAGCAAAAAACAGCAAGGGCUGUGAGGGCUGUGCUGCUCUCAGCCUGACCACUAUGAGUUAAAGACCCAAAGCAGAAGGCAAAAUAGUGCUGGAUUCUUUUAGUCAUUAUGUCAUUAUACACAACAACACCAAGUAUCCUUGGUAUCAGAGGAAUGCAGUGCUCAGAUAACAGAAAAAUUGUGAAAGUCGUGUCAACAAAGCUCAUUUGGGGGAUAGAGGAAUGAGGGUUGUGUGUGACACCCUUGGCCUUUCAGCCACAGCCAAAUCUCACGCACUGAAACACCACCAAAACACAACAAAGCCACAGCACAGCAGGCCCAAC